This 30301-nucleotide long non-coding RNA is filed under the name Xyrichtys novacula (pearly razorfish). Lineage: Eukaryota; Metazoa; Chordata; Actinopteri; Labriformes; Labridae. The record is from RNAcentral.
CGUUAGCUUGUGGGGAACUUUUUUGGGAAAAGAAAGACUGAAAACAAAGUUUACCGGCGAAUUUCGCCGCGGAAAAUGACGAGAAUGAAUUACUUUUUUUCUGUUCCUGUGGAAACUUUACCUGCUUACCACUGUGAAACUGGAGGGGUGUAUAUACAUCGUAAUGAGGUAAGACUGGUCUCAUUUGAAAGAGAAGGAUGUCCUGAUGUGUUCUGAUAUAUGAUAGUGGGGUGGAGCUAGGUGACGGCCUCUUAAGCUUCCUCUUUUCUACUGGAGUCGUUCAUGUCCAUAGCGCGUUUAAAACGUGCAUAAAGUGUCUAAAAUCUUUGAAAAAUAUUAAUAUAGGUCAAUGAAACAUUAAAAAACAACAUUUUAGACAUUCUCUAACCCCCCCUGUAGCAAAAUCAGAAAAAAAAAUCUGUUGUUUCAUAUCGUCCUCGUGAAGCUAGAGGCUGGAGAUGAGAGCGAGAGACUCAUGCCACGGUCUUGCCCGCACAUAUGCGUGCACCGGGCUGUUCACGUGGAGGCUUCACCCAGUGAGGCGGCAGACACUGUCCAUUCUAUAUACAGUCUAUGUUAAAGACUAUGAAGGCUCAUUGUUGUAGGUGACAUGACAACUCAUUUAACGAUGGCUCUAAGGUGCUUUGGUGCCUACAAAACUGUGUAAAAAGGAACACCCUCUAUUUGUGACUGACUUUAAAUCAGCAGAGAAGCAGCCAAAACAGAAUAUUCUGGACAGUGGUGGCUGCAAAUCAUGCAAAGCCACCCUCUUAGUGUCUCUGACUGACAGAAUAAGAGAAGUAAACAAGUAUUAUCAGUCUCCUUCAGAAUAUUUUCCUUUUAACAUCUCAGAAAGAUCAUCUUUUAUUUACAUUAUGUAAAUAAAGUAAAGUCUUUUCCACACACCUAUGCCCAAGUAUCUAACUUUGACAGUCAGUUGGGAGAUAUUAAAAAUUUAUGCCAACAGCACAUCUCACUUUCUUGGCUUUGCAAAGCUCUGUGAACACAAGAAAAACCACUGCCAACCUUCAAGUCUUGCUGGAUUUGUGACACUGAGCACAGUAUGCAGAGUAGAAAGCAGGAGCUGGGUAAACAUCGUCAGAUCCCCAGAAAAAAAAACAGGCUGUCAUUCUUUCUGAUACGUUAAAACCGGUAAUGGAUCAGACUGUUUAUUUUUUGUACCCCUGGUUUUCUUCCUCUCUCUCUCUCUGUAUCUGUAUUCCUCUCUGUGUUUCACUCUGUAUCAGGUUUUUUUCAGAGGUUGGUAGGUCAUUGGUUAAGUUGUUGAAUUCCCCCUUCUCUCAGCAAAUGAUUGAGACAUGGAGGAGACACUGAAGUUCACACACAUACAUGGAGGGAGAACUACCAGGCUGUUAGCAAGUGGAUGGGAGUUUGUCCGCCUACACACUCAGAAGACCAAGAGAUGUCUAUGUGUGUCUGGGCCUGGCUGAGAGGCUGCUGGCUUGCUCUACUGUAGCAGGUGGCGAACAUUUUCCAUUUACAAGAAAAAUGCACAAAGUGUAGGCAGCAGAGAGGAGGUGCUGUUAUCUAUUCCUGCAUCGCACGCGGCUGAUCUGAUCCACUCUGUGGCAGCAUGACAGUCACGUUGUAUGGAUGCAGUUAACUCUGGCACAAAGUGUGGACUGAGGUGUAUUUUUAAACAAUAUGAAGUAAUGCAAAGGGAAAAGAGAAAAACUAACAGAACUAACUCAGCCAGAAAUUGGGACCAUUUUAGAAACUCUUUCAAAAUUAAAUCUGUCUGACUAAGAGAAAUUUCAGAGCAUUUUUAAAUGCAAAUAUUUGUUAUGGAGCAAUUAGGGCUGCAAGGAUUAGUCGACGUCGACGAAAAUCGAUAAUGAAAAAAGUUGACAAUUAAUUCCAUUGUUGAAUAUUCACACAUUUUUUUUCCCAGUAGAGUGAGGCAUCUUACUUCUUUACGAUUUCUGCCUAGAGUCAUAUAUGCGCAAUAGCAUCUCAGCCAAGUGGAAGGGUAUUCAAACAUGGCAGCGCCGUCAUCGCAUACAGCGCUUAAAACCUCCAAAGUUUAGGAGCACUUUAAUGUAGAUAAGGCAAAUAUCUGAAAUUUAAGAAAAAAUUCAGAAUUGUCUGAUUGGUCAACUAAUUGUUUCAAUAGUCGGUGACUAGUCAACUAUUAUAAAAGUCGUUAGUUGCAGUCCUAGGAGCAACCCCUCUUUCUCAUGUUGAGUAGUAAUCAAGCUAACAGCUAAUAUGGAAACCUGGUUCUCAUGGGGAUCCAUUUUUCAAAACCUAAAAAUCACUAACAUUUGAGUUCACUGAAACGGCAGUUCAGUCUCAUGGACCCCACAUGAACACAUCAUGUCAAGUGAAGUCACUUUGAAUUUUAGAUUCUGGAGCAUUUACCUUUAAUGACACACUUUUACUGUGCUUUAUUACCACGUGACUGAGAGCUUACCUGUACAGAUAGAGAAGUACCAAAGAGAGAGAGGCAGAGAACAUGAAGGGAUUUCUCUUUAGACUCUGAGCUUUUUAAAGUUAAGAGCUCCUUUUUUGUUUGGGAUUUUGACGCACUUGGCUGAGGAGCUAAUGAGCCCAUUCUUCUGAAUUGUUUUAUGAUGGCUGUAUGAUAUCUUCUAUGGAUAUGGAUUCCAUGUGGGUCCUUACAGAUAAAUACUGUACUUCAAUAUUUUGGGGCUUAUGUAACAUCUUGUCCUUUUACUUUAGAUUUUCUUUUGAACAAGCACAAUCUUCAACCUAUUACGUCUACCUGUGCAUCUCCUUUUUUUUCCAAUAAAUGACAAUCCUUAAGGAAGAGGGUUUCAACUUUAGAUAAGAAGCACAUGCUCGGUAUUGGCUCUUAUCAGCGUGACCCAGAAAAGUCUUGGAAAAUUCACGGGGGCAUUGCCCUGAUUUAGCUUUAUUUCACAUGCAAGACCAGUGAAAAUAUGAAGGGCGAAAAAAAAUAAGAAGGGGGAAAAAUGCAUGGAGAUGGUCCCUGCAUUCAUCCAGGAAUUGCAGUAUUGGAGAUAUUAUGCAAAUUGUGGAGAUUAUUCAGCCAACCCUUGGUUUCCAUAAUUAGGAUUAAGAUGGGACUUUGGAGAAUUCAUGGUCUCUAAGCUCAUCUUUCAUGGGAAUUGAUUGCCUGUACAGUUGACAGAAGUCGUAAAGUAAAAGCCUUGUUGGGUCUUGACUGUGGCACAUAACAGCAUUAUCAACGCAUGGAGUUAUACUGUAAAGGAAACACCAUCUGGGGUUGCAUUGUAAAGUAAAGACAGGGUCUGUGUAAGGAAGGAUUAUGCCUAUUGACCAGAGGCCCCAAAUGUAAGUCCUCUGUCCCUGUGUGCAGCUUUAACACUGCAUUACACCAAAGAUAGGAGAUAGGCUGCAUGCAUUUGGAAUACUGAAACAAAGACUGUAACUCCAACCCAGUGCAAGAUUUAGAUAUUCGGUCUGUCCCAAUAUGUAAGCUAUGAUAUGCAGGUGGUGGGUCAUUAUACCGUGAUUAAAUUCAGAUGGUCCCAAGCACUGUUUGAAGGGGAUCAAUAUUAUUUGUGGACCUCUGCUCAUUUCUGAUAUACCCCCUGAUGUCAGCUAGGGGUGGAAAUCACUAGUGGCUCCACGAUACAAUAAUAUCACGAUACUUGGGCCACGAUUCAAUAUCAUUGCCAUUUUAAACAUUUUGCAAGACAGUAAAGUAGAGACCCUCUUAUAAAAUUAACCCCACACAUUUUGUGAGAUGCUGAUUCAGACUAGGUGAACAGUAUUUGAGAGGACCUCUGGAUGCUCAGUCUGAAGUAUAACAGGUGAUUUUAUCUGAAAUGUUUCUCCCUAAAUUAGACAUGGUAGAUUUGCACACAGAUGAAGUCCUGUGGGUGAUACUAAUCCCACAGGUAUGGGGCUUAAGCAGUGACCUCACCUGCUACCUGUUUAUUAUCUGACUUGUUACUACUCAAGCUGUGACUAAGUAUUUGAUCUCGUCGUGUUAGGCGUACUUUCCCUCUUUCAUGUAAUGUGAGGGUGUUUGCGUCCAUAUCCCAGACUCCAGCCGACUCUAUCAUCACCACAACUGUCACAAUCAUGCUCCAGUGUUAAGAUUGACAAUGAAAGAUGACACGGGCCUUUCUGUGUAGUUGAUAUUUACACUAAACUGAACACUGAUGCUGAGUAAUGUCGAUGAUGGGCCAAGCGCGUCCAAUCCCAAAAUGUGAUACGCUUCAGUGGCUGAGGUCAUUACCCUCGGAUGGAGCACGCUUUUGAAAGCACUUUUAAUGAUAGGGGCUCUGAUAUAAUCCACUACAAAGAAAAGAGACGUUGUUUUACUGUCAGAUAGAGUUGUUACAGCUAGUUGAUUUCUCACUGAAUACCAUUUUGUUGUCAGUGUCAUGUGUAGCUUUGAUUUACAAUAAAGGCAUACUGCUCACACUGUCAUGGAGUUAGAGUAAAUAUAUCUGCAUUUGAAAGUGCGGCCCCCUCUGUGUUGUACCCCGCACUGUGUUUGGGGAUAAGGAAAGCAAUUUGUUUGCUGAAACCCGAGGAGCUUUUAGAUUGUGGUAUUCUUCAUGUUUAACAGUGUGAAGCAGAGAUACGUCUUUGAUCCUGAAAUAAUUUCAUGACAAAAUAUCUUUUGACCCUGAAGCGUGGUUUGAUGGAGAUAUUUGACCCCCCUGCUAUUUCGGGAACAGCUCCUUCCUGUGAAUGCUGAUGUGUUAAGUGACAGCGUGAUUUAACAAAGCAGGCAUCCACAUCACACAUCGCUCAAAAGAACAGAUUUAGUUUUUCAUCUUUUUUUUUUUUUUUACCUCUAACACCCCCGCCCCUUUUUUUCACCCCCUACUCCCACCACCUUCCCUUGGGCACUGAGCGCUGAGAUGGAAGUAAAGAUGGAUGAUGUUGUUUUGAACUGUGACAUGUCUCCAUGCGAGUCAUUUCAUUAUUAUUCAUAAAUAAUUGGCGGGGACGUCUAAGGAGGCUAUUUAAAGAGCUGAUUGCUGUAUUGCCAAUGUGCGCUAACUCUGAAGGUUUUAUUUAUUUUCUUUUUCUAGUAUUUCCCGCUGAGAGCCAAACUUGGGGUCUAUUUUCAUGAAGCUUCUAAUAUAGCACUUGACCUUUUGUUGAGUUUUGUUUGCCCCCUCUCUCUCUCUCGUACACACAGACACACACACACACACACUCUGCUUGUGUGGUCAAUAAAGAUACAUGUGUAAGAUAUUGAUUCCAGCUUUUUGAUCUCACCUCUUCCAGCUGAAGUCUCUCCAACAGUUUCGAGCUGGAGUUUAAUUAUAUCUAAUUCUCUCUCACUGGCAGCCAUAUAUCAACUCCAUCUCUCCACUAAAGGAUCUUUCUCCCACCUAAGUUGAAAAUCAAUAGGGACCAGUGAGGCAGGUCUGUCAUGGUGCAUUGGACAGAGGUACUGUUGAUUUGUUCUUCCUGACUGUAACAUCACAUACUCCAUUAGUUAUAUAUUGGCACAUGUGUGUGUGCGCACCUAGAGAUACCUGUGGUAGUCCAUGGGUGCGACAGAUAUUUGGUACACCUCAGGGUGGCAAAGGUUCAUCAUGAUUUUUGAAAAGACACAUGUCUGUAGAUUAUAUUUUUGUAUGAUAACCUUUCCAGGUGCCCAGCUAAAUAUUGGUUAUCAGCUCAUGAAGUUAACCACCCUGUAAGAUAAAUUCAAUUUUUUACACUGGUGUAUAUCUGGUUUAGGCUCAUGACAGGGACAUUUCUCAAAGGUUUACAAUAGACUGUUUGGUAUCAUUUUAAAGAGGACCCUUGUGGCUUUCAUUUAAGCCUAUAUGUGCUCAUCUUAGACCAACAUGAAAGUCACUAGAGCUCUUUAAAUCACAAAAAAUACAAAUUUUCCUGCAAUAUUUUCCUACACGAUAUACUUUCUUUUGGCCGUAUGUCACCCAGGGACAUCAGGGAUUCAAGAAUUACAAACUGCAAUACUAACCAAUAUUUAGCUGGGCACCUGGAAAGGUUAUCAUACAAAAAUAUAAUCUACAGACAUGUGUCUUUUCAAAAAUCAUGAUAAACCUUUGCCACCCUGAGGUGUACCAAAUAGUGAAAUUCUGGCCCAUAGCCUAAGGUACUCAGCAUGGUCAGUUAAAUCUUGAACAGUGUCCUUGAAGGUUAAAAAAUGUGAAUGGAGAAAAGAAAAUGUAAGAAGUUUAAGCAGGGAGUGGAAAUGAGGAAAUAAUCAGAUUGGAAACAAAAGAGUGGAUUAUUUAGCCCUUGUGGUUCAUCAGGAUAAGCCGGCAGCCUUCUGGUGAAUAUUGCAUGAGAGUGUUAGAUUAAAACAGAUGAAAGCGAAGCAGCAAAGUUGUGCGUGAACAUGAUGUAGGUUUAAUUUCACAUUGUUAGAGGGGUUCAGCUUUUAUUGGAGUAUGCAAUUGGAAUAUGAAAUGCAGUUUUUAUUGUGUUAUUGCGGAGCAGCAGAUAUAAUGCACCUCGCACAUGCAUGUGGGAUUAGGCAGGUGGAGGAGAAGGCAGUAUGUGCCACUGGGCUUUCACAAUCAGCUGCCUCUGUAAGGUCAAGCUUUCUGCUGAUUCAGGAUAUUGGGGCGUGGUAUGAUGAGCUUGCAGGAUAAAAAAAAAAAAAUACAGCAUGACGAGGGGAAGGGCCAAGCCCAUCUGCAUGACAAUACAGAAUUUAAUUUCCUACACGUGCUGCGCCAGGGCAUCACUUUAUAAAGUGCUUCAUUUCCACUGCAGCGUGACAGCAGGGCAACAUGGCUGGAAUGCGGGAUGAUGAAGCUGUGUGGUGGAAACAGUCGGUUGUCAUUAGUAUGCAGCGCUGAGCCGUCUUGUCUAGCUGGACCUCUUGCAGAAAGUCUCUCCCCCUGAACAGCAGAUAAAUUGUCUGUGGUGAAAUGAGCAGAUGAGGCAAAUCUGUGCCCUUUUCUGCACAAGGAAACUUUCUCCCAUGUUGUCGGAUUUGUUCCACACUCAGCAGACACAACAGUCCCCCAAAAAAGAGGAGUUGAAUGAAAAUUAAAAGGGUCAAAGUUGAACUCCCGUGUGAUAAUGCCAUGUGAAAGAAACAGAGAGACGGAUAGGACCUUAUUAAGACCUGUGCUCUUGCGGAUUAGCUUCCAACUCCUCAGUGAGUUUUAUCAGAGAGGAGCCUUCGAGCAUGACCGCAGUAAUGAACCUAUUAGCCAUGAAAUUGACUUUUCUGAUAAAUAAGGAACAGAGGAGUGCAGGGGACCAUUUUUGCAUUUCAAGCCUUUUGUUUGAACUCCAUAAUUACAUUUUAACACUACCACCUUUUUUUUCCAUCUGCAAGUUUUGUUCUUGGCUCCCUCUCAUAAGUACGCUGCAGAAAAAUAAUUGAACAAAUUUUCCAGGUAGAAACAUCACCGGCACACUGUAGCUAGUGUUAAAACAGAGUCCAGACUUGGACAAAUAUGAGAACACUCACAUUCAAGGCUGCGUGUCUGCAAAUGACUCAUAAGCUACAGCAAACUUCUCUGCAUUCUGAAAUAACACUUUAAUCAACUGCUGUGAUGACACUCAAACUUUAAGACCUCAUGGUGCAAAUGUCUGCCUUUAAUCACUGCUUGAGGAUGAAUGUGAUUUUCCAUCCCGCUGAAAAAAAAUGACAAGCAGACAGUCAUUUUGAAAGUUGGACAAGGAGCAGCACUGAGUCUCCUGCUCAAACGACAUGUACGAAGAUUUGUCACGAGGUGGCACAGACGAUUGAUCACUUUCUCAUUUAUCAGAAUCGAUUUUUCUUUUUGUCAUAUUACCAUCAACCAAGGUUGUUCAUCAACUAAGAGGUUCAAUGAUGACUUUCUGCCUCUCAGGGGAACGUCCUCUGCUCCACCCAAAAGUGUAACGACACCAAGUGUACAACUUUUUCACUCUCAUCUUUGUGUCUGUUACACCCCCUUGUCAAUCUCCAAAUUUGCACCUGUUUUUUCACUGAAUAAAUCGAAAGCACAUACGGAAAAGGUGGAGGUCAAGUGUCUGUUGUUGACAUUAAAAGCUGUUUUCAUCUUGUUUUGAAUAAAGCAACAUGAGAGUCAUGCAGUUUAUUGAGGAGUUAGAAAUAUUUCAUUCUUUUAAAAUGUUUACUUGGACCCGAGUUUCUUUCUCCUGCUAGUUUUGCACCACCAUAUUGCAUAUACAUGACUGUUUAAUUGAGAAAUAUCCAAAUCCAAUUGAAGCUGUAGUUUUAUCCUGAUUAAAGCUUGAUCAAAGGAGUCAUUGUUAUCCUGAUUGGGCCAUUUUUCCAACUUCAAUCUUUUAACCCUGUUGUUCUUGUCAGGGUUAUCCUAACAAGGCAGACAUUUGUCUCUGUUUCUAUUUUAUCCAGAUACUUUGUGUGUCACCCUGUCUGCUCAUCUGUGCAUCUGUUCUCAUAUCUUUCCUUGUAUCUCUCCUUCCUUUCUACUAUCUUGGUCCGUCAAGUUGUGGCAGAUGACCUUUCUGCGCGGUUCUACGAAAUGGUUCUGUCUGUCAAAGGAAGUCUUUUUUUGACUUUGUUAUUAGGUACUUUCUAUUAGUGGAUUUAUGUUGUCUUUUUUAUGAUAUUGCAAAGAGUACAUGCUAGAUUAUUUUUUCUGUUGAUUAUCAUGAAAAACUCCUUAUAAGGCACUUUAAGAAGGAAAUUUUGACUUCUUCUAUGGACAAUUUUGACUUCUUCUAUGCAAUUCAACCUCAUUGUCCUACACAACCUGAAACAGGUACAGACCAGGUACAGACCAGAUAAUCACCAAAGAGCUGGAAGUUCGAGAGUGUAAAUUCUCUAUCAGGAUGCUGAUAAUGUCUGCAUGUGGUUUAUUUAUAGUGAAAACACUGAAACUUUAACAUUAGAAAAUUAGUUAAAAGUUUAAGUGAUACAAAGGUAAGAUAGAAGCAAAUGCAGCGAACGUUACCCAGACCAUUUAGUGUUCGCCUUAGGCACAGCUGAUAGAUAAAUGAUUUCAUCAAUAUCAAACGGACAAUUUUUUAUUUGGACAGAAUUUUUAGUUCAACUAACGCACAGGUCUUAUAGUAAGAAAUCACCCUGAAAACAGUAAAAAUUUAACAUGUUAAAUUAAAUAAGACUGAAUAAGGGAUCACAGUGUCUGAGGAUGAGCUCUGUCAAAUUUUGCUGUGUGUGGCUAAUGUUAGCAGAGCUAGCACCACCAUCUUUGUCUAUGUUUACGUCCACAUGCCUGUGCUAGUUAUGCACAGGUCUGAUCAAGUGGUUGUAAGCCAGUUUAAGUGAACACAGUAAGCAUACGCAUUUAUCUCUUUCUGCUAGCUCAAAAGAUUUCUACAUUGCACUGUGCUAUGUGGUGCCAUCAUCUGUUGUUCUUAAAGACCCACUUGAUGAAAAUCAUGUUUUUUCUUGUCUACAUGUUCAUGUGGCAUUUUUCUGAUGCGACAGGGCAUAUCAUGAGAAAACUAAGUGCAAAAUUGCAUUUCUGAGUAUUUCUUGGCAGACUCAAACACUACGUUCAGAUACAGUGGGAUUUCCUGCGUAGCAAAUCCAAGCUCCACCCCAGGAACCCCGCUAUGCAGGCCACACUCAGAAAAACAGAGAAGACAAUUGCGACACGAUUGCAGUGCUUGGAAGAAAGCUAAUUAUAUUAGUUUUCAUCAUGCCCCAAAAGAUAUUUGAGUCUGAAGUUGAAGAGCUCCUGUGUUACCUGCCACUUCUUCUACACCAGCAAUGUUAGGCUGCAAGCUAGCGGGUGUGCAGAGCCGCGCUGUCUCCACCCACGACUCAGAGGCAAAGUGAUGAUAAACUACUGGAGCUCUGCAGAAGAAAAGCCCUUAAAAAUGACACAGGUAAUGUGGUUUUGGCUGAAAACUUGAUAAUCACAACUUAUAGACCACUGAUCACACUUUAAGUAUUAAAAAAAAAACACUAUCGGAGUGGGACUUCAACAUUAUCCCACACUUGGACCACCAAUACAUGUGAGCGUCACAGUUAAAGAAAUGCAUAAGACAGACGUUGAGAACGGCAACAGGAAACUGUAACUGCAAAACAGUUAAGAUACCUCCAAAACUAUAGGCAUAACAGACUCCUUCAGACUGCUUCACAUAGGGACCGUUUUCGACAGAAUCCAUGGCAUUACUAUGGAGAGCAUCAGGUACUCACUGAAACAGGUGGUUUGGAUAUUUCAUUGGCUGUGGAGUAGAAUACCAAUGAACAUCAACUUUAGUGAAAAAAACCUCCAGACAAUCUCAGUGUUUACAAAAUAGCCCAGCACACUCUCCUAUUUGCAUGGAUAUCUUGUGACAUCCAAUCAACAUAUCCCAUUGUGCUGGGUGUCAGACCCCAGUUGAUUGAUUGUAGUUCUGCUUUGCACCCCUCUGCUCAGGGCUCAGCUCUGCAAUGACAGAAAGGACACGCAGAUGAAUAAUGCAUGUCUCUAUCAGCCCAUCUCACAAGCACAAUGCUGAGAGAAAAAGAGAUAGAUAGAUACGGGAUGAGGCAGAUGGACAAGGAAAGUAUGGGAGAUAUUCCAGAGAUGAUAAAAGUUGGGCUCUGAAUGAGACAUUUAACAUAAUGAUGACAAUCUCUCCUAAAGUGUCCAAGAAAUGUGCAAUAAAACCAUAGAAACCAUCGUCUUUCAUUGAGUUAGCUACAGUCCAUCAGUAUGAUAGAAGGGAUUCUUUUUAGAUUCACUGUGAGGUUUUAAAAUUAAAAAAUCCUAACACAGGGUGAAGUGUCUGCACUGAGUAAUCAAAUUAAAGGUCUCCAUUAUUCUCCAAAGGUCUUUUCCUCUUGCUCUCAGAAUCUAUAAAUUGCAGGUCAAAACCUAGACUUGCCAUUUGCACCGAAACGAAAUAACUAUAGACCCUCUACACUAAAGAAUUAAUACCUUGAAAAGAAUUCAACAAUGUUCAUAAAAUAGUGUCAUGGACAGUGCAGGAUAGGGCCUUUUUCAUUAACCUGGCAAAGAGCCAUAAUAGCUAAAGGUCUAAGGCCAACAUAUUGAAUUUGUAUCAGUUGCUCUCUUUUUGGAAGGGACUUCAUUACACUGCAGCUUGUAUAUCUCUGGUAAAGAGUAGGAAAAGUGAAGGAAUAAUGAUUCAAAAGGGCGACCUAUUGUGUGAUCCAUCUUGUGUGAAGGGUCUUCAUAAUUACGACUGAUUAAGAUGCAUGACUGGAAAUAUCAAUAAAAUCAAAGCCAGACUUCACCAAUGAACGGCUGAUGAACAAUUUUGUAAAUUCAGCGAAUGCUUAAAAUAACUAAUCACACUUAUUCUUUGAACAAAUCGAAGUCUCCAUUGUGUUUUUCCUGAAGCGUUUUUGCCUUUUCUCUGAGAGAGUUCAGUAAGACUUGGAUACUGCAUAGGGUUUAUUUUUACAACAAAAUCUAACCAGGAGAGCGGACGCCUAUUAUGCACAGAGAAUGAAUCUCAGAAUCACAGCUGAAACAGACUGACCACAAUGUAAAAGUCCCAGACAAUAAUUACUCUUUUACCAGCUAUUGUAGGCCAGUUGCAGGGAAAGAUUUGAAUAUGACCCAGUUUGAGGAGAUUACUUGCGUUCUUCUGACGUCACUGUCUACAACGCUAGAGGCCUGACAGCUUCAGCAUGAAGGGAAAGACAUCUGUGAAGAUUUCAGGAGCCCACUGCAGAAUGCAGAGUUUUGGGAACAUGUCCAAUUGAAGGCUCUCUCAACCUAAACAGCACAUCAAAAUUAAAGUUCAUGAUAUCACUGGACUGUCAAUGUGCUUUUGAAAUCUUGGACAGUUUAGCUGAUUGUCAUAUCUGAUUUCUCUGUAGUUUUGUACCUCUAGUUUUAUGUUGUACCCACUUGACCUUUUGUUUUUUUCUCUUUUAACUCACUGUUUGAAUUUGUAUUCUCACAAAAGCCCCACCACUGACAUGCAGCAAAUAGGCAUUGGCUGCUGUGUCCAGUUAGUCUAUUUAUUCUGCACAUGUCCACAAUAAAUCAUUAAUGAAUAAAUGAUGCAUUAUUGGAUGUCAUUAUUAAUUAAUACUCACCUGUGUAUUUAAUUAUGAUAACAAAAUUAUCUCUGUGUACAUAAGUUUAUUGACCCUUUUUUAAUUAUUACUGUGGCCAGUAUCUGAGGCUAUAACUGGCUUGCUUAGACAAGCCACAUGGGUUGUUGUUGUUGCUGUGAUUUAUUGCCCAGGGAUAGACUCAGCCUGAAAUUCUCCAAGGAAAGGAAGUCCUCCUCUCUGCAGCAACGUAAGGAAGUGGGUUUUGUGGACUUUGUUUCAGGACUGGGCUUUUAUUCCAGUGAUACAGUUGUUGUAAAAAUAGGUUGAUCAAGAUGAUAGUUAAAAAAAAAAAAAGAGUCAUUGAGGCAGAUUUGAAAAAAGCGUUCCACCCCCCGCACACAAACCUCUCCCCUCUGUACUCAACGAUAACGAUUUUUGGCGUCCUUUUCCAUCAUAGCUCCUGUAGCUAAGCUUCUACACCACUUUUAGCCGUUCAGAGCUCCAAGGAGGGCCGGGAGAGUGGGAGGGGACAAGUCAGAACUACAGGAGAGGGGUGUGUCGAAUACAGCAAGGUGAUUGGAUGGAGAGUCAGAGCAGGAGAUUGACCAAUAGGAGCUGUCCAGGACGGAUGGCUCCCAUUGGUCAAUGUUUUUGCAGCCCUGCAUCUGAUAGGGUGAAUAGAUUUUUUCCAUUCUUUUUUCUCUUUACUUUAUGGAGAUCACACUAUAGGACCAUGAUCGCCAUAUAAACGAGGUUUAUAAUAAUUACCAACCUCUCCGAUCGUCCACCAUGCCUUUAAUUCAUCCCACGGUGGUGAAAUUUGCACUGUUAAUAGCAGCAAAGGAUCAGCAUAUCAAACAUAGAAGAAUAAGUGUGCAUGAUGAGCCUCAUAAUCAGCCUCAAUAAUUGCAAUGAUGACUUAUUUGGCAGCCCCACUUUGGGGAGUGACUGUGCAAAUAUGUGACUUUGUGGCUUUUGAGGGAGCUAAAAAAUGAGGUCAUAGAGACCAAAAGAUGAGGUGCACUAAUCAGCCCGACAGAAGCUGCUGUUGUCUAACAUCCCAGAGCCUUUAAGCACAAGCUAUUGCUAAUGCAGUCAGAGAAAAAAAAAAUCUGUAUUUGCUGCAUUUGUCUUGAUUCUGUCGUUCUGAUUGCCCGUUUGUUGUGGGAUAUAUUACAAUGAUAAAUCAGCUGGUUUUUAAAGUUAACUUGUGCUCACUGCCCUCAUUGAAGUAACCAUAUUUACCUUGAUUGAAGUCUGUUUCCCUGAAAAGACACAGCUCACGUCGGCUCAGUAUUGGUAGUCUGAAGAGUGAAAUUUAAGACAUCUCCCUGUCCUUGUAAAGUGUGCUGCUGGUUGAUGAAUUUCACGGUGUGUUCUUGUCCUUGUACAUUGAAUCCCAUCAUUUCUAUAUUCCCUUGAGGCAGCAAUUAGCCCUCAGUCUGUCAGCAGCUAAUGGCUUUCUAAUUGAGUCUCCACAGGUAGUGUACCUGUUUGUGGAGGUUAAAUUGGAACAAAAUUGGCAGGACACAGCACUCCAACAUAUUGUAGUGACUUCUUUUAUUUCACACCCAAGAGAGAGCAGAGGGGCUGAGGAUCUUACUUGACACGUGUCACCCUUGGUCUGGUUUUCUCCCUCAUGCUUCACAUUUAGUGUUUCAGGCUGUUCCGCUCUGACCCUUUUCUGAGCCAGACUGGCUGCAAAGAACAUGAAAGGUAAUCUCCACUAAAAACACACCAUAUCUAGAAGCAUGUGAGCACAUGUGUUGCAUGUGCACAUGCACCUUUUAAUACCAGUGAAAGGUUUGUGAAGUGCAAAUAAAUCAUGUGUCAUGGUUACUCACACCAGACUUUUGUUCUGGUUAGCAAACUCAAAUAGAAACAAAAGGAUUAAAUUAAAUUAUCAAUUUGGUUUUCUGCAUGAAUUUUAUUUGCACAGCGGCUAACAUCGCUGCACCAGAGCUUUCUUUGCAGUUUUUACCAAACAUGUCCAUCUUGAACUUUUCCUCGAAGCGUCUCAUUACUCCUUACAACACAUUUCUCUGCACUCUGCUUUUUCAGAGCCUCUUACCACCCCCAAUCUUCUUUCCAAUAUCCCACUCUGAAGUCCAUUUUCCACUUUCCAUUAUCAUUCCCUCACAGGGCCCUCUUUUUACAGCACACUCGUCAUCUCCAUCUAUUUGUGGCUUUUUAAAAGCCUCUCUCUUUUCUGACCAGACUGAAGGACACCAGCAACAUCACCAAUAUCAACUGAAGAUUUUCACAUUGAUCCUUUUAUUUUUGCUGUUGAAUCAUUCGGCCAUCAUAUCUCAUUUCACCCAUCUUCUUGUCUCUUUAGUCAAAUCAGCAGCUCUGUAUUGAUCAGUUUGAAGUGAAUCAGUACCCAAACAUGGACUCUCACUCUCAGUCUGGUAAACCAAGAAAGGAUUAUUGAUCCAGCUGCUCAUCUGGCAGCUAACUGUUUUCAUGUUGUAUGUGUCGCUUGUUGUUUACUUGUACAAGGUGUUGUGCUACAUUGUUCUUUGUGUUUUAAUUUUACAAAAAUAUAAAUGACUAAACAUUAGGGAUGCACGAUAUUUAUCGGACCGAUAAAAUAUCGGCCGAUUUGGGGGGAAAUUACGUCAUUUUUUAUCGGUCCGAUAGGUGCAUUUUUCCGAUAGAAAGAUCCGAUAUAUUAAUGAAAUUACGAGUAACGUUUGCAGGCGGAGUAGCCGCCCGUCCGAGACGCGCUGGUUACGUCAUCUAUCGUGCCUUACUCGCAGGUCCCAAGCCUGACCCUGUCACUACCUGACAGAUAAUAAAAUGUCUUCACCAGCAUGGUCGUUUCUCUCAGUGGCAGAAGAUGACAACAGCAUUGCUAUAUGCAAAACCUGUUCAGCGAGGAUUCCGAGAGGAGGAAAGAAGACGUCAAGUUUUAACACAACGAAUCUGAUAGCUCAUCUGAAAAGUCGCCAUCGCGGUGAAGCGGUAGUAAAAGAAUAUGAGACAGCCGCCGAAGCUGCUAGCGGUACUAAAGCUAAGACAACAACACGACGGAGGAUCGAUGUCCCCAUUCAGCAGGCGUUUAAGAACUGCAAAAGCUUCUCAAGAGACAGCGAAAAGGCUAAAGCCAUUAACGACAAAGUGAUGGAGUUCAUAGCGGUCGACGACCAGCCUUUUUCCGUCGUUGAGAACCCGGGUUUUCGUAAGUUCAUAGCACACUUGGAGCCACGUUACACUCUCCCAAGCCGCCGCUUCUUCUCGGAUGUGUCUCUUCCUGCACUCUAUGAUAUUGUCGCCACAUACAUUCACAACCUGAUCGACAAGAACGGACUACACGUGAGUUUUACCACAGCCAUAUGGACGUCAGAUGUUAGUCCGGUCAGCAUGCUAAGCCUAACGGCUCAUAAUGGCUCCUUUUACAGUUUACAGUUCUGUUUAACAGUUCAGGGGAUCAAAUGAAGUUCUGCUUUUUGCUCUGUUAUUGUUAUUUAUAGCAAAUGACCAUAUUUGAAGAGCCAAAAACUUUUCUUUGUUGUUCUAGAUGGGCCAGAGCAACAAAAAUAUCAGUUUUCAAUCGCUGCAUCCUGCACAAACUGCAGAUUAUAUGAAGAUUAUAAUAAAUGUAAAAAUAUGAAUUUAUCGGUUAUCGGUAUCGGUAUCGGCCAUGAGAAGAAGAAAAUUAUCGGUUAUCGGUAUCGGUUGAAAUUUUUCAUAUCGUGCAUCACUACUAGACAUUCAUACUUGUGUCGUCUGCUAUAAAACAUUAUGAAAGAAGUGUACUGGCCAAAAAACUGCAGUUAUGCUCCAGAUCUUUUCAUUUGAUUUCAUAAAAGGACAAAAUAAUAGAGGCCUAAAAACUGGAUUGAUAGAGGUCUCUCUCUCUUUCCACAUAUCCGUCUAUUUUGACCCAUUCAGUCGCAAAUGCCAGUUCACCAGUGAGUCUGCUUUUCUGCCUCCGUCUAUUAAAAAGGUUUUUUUUCCUUAACACUCUUACCAGCUGUUGAGUCGUUGUGAAUAACACAACAAAGUACUGUCUAGACGUGCUCUUUUUUAAGGGGACUUAGUUGUGGCCUGACACUAUAUAAGCAAAAGUGAAGCUUUUACUUUCAAUUGGUGAAAGUUCGUGUGAUCUGCUUAUCACACUCUUGUACGCAAACUUACACAGUUUAGGUUGAGUCGGUGCUAAAAAUGAAAAGCUGCACCUUAGAUUUUCAGUCAUUAUAGGCUGGGUUUCAACCUAGCAGAGGUCAUCUAAGUGCAGUAAUUAGCACCUCUUUUAACAUAUUUUGUUUAAUAUAAACAUGCAAGUAUGAGCAAAAUGCUUGCACAAUGUUUCAUUCAUCCAUCGGUCUAUCAAGCAUUUUCUUCCAAUUAUACGGAUCGUGGUCCUGGUUGCAGCAGCCUCUACAAGUCAGCCUAGACAUCCUUGCCCGCAGCCACAUGUCCUGGCUCCUCCUGGGGGAUUCCGAGGGGUUUCCAGGCCAGAAAGGACAAGUUAACCCGUCCAGCAAGCUCUAAGUCUAAAUGGGGUCUCCUCCCAGUUGGAUGUACCCAGGGAACCUCUAUGGAGGAGUCCAGCAGGCAUAAUCAGUUGCCCAAACCACCUCAAUUGGCUCCAAAGGACCUAACAGCUUGACUCUGUGCCCCUUUCAGUUGUAUGAGUUCCUGAUCCCAUCAUGAAAGCUGAGCCUAGCCACUGUUCUGUGAUGUCAUUCUCUUGGCCGCUGCAAAGCUCACAGCCACAGGUGAAGGUUAAAAUGUAGAUCGCCUGGUAAAUCAAAAGGCCCAGCUCCCUCCUUUAUGCAGCUAUCCAGUAUAUCAGCUGCAUUGCUGCUGUUGUAGCACCAACCCCUCUGUCAAUCUCACAAUAUAUUUCACUCUCCCUAGCAAAAAAAGACUUUGAGAUAGUUGAACUUCUUCACUGGGGGGAAAAUACUCACUCCACACCCAGAGAAGUAAUUCACUGUUUUCUGAGGAGGACUACUCGAGAGACCCUCUGAAGAAUUGCCACCUCGACAUGGUGAAGGGGUUUCAAGUCCCUGAGAACCUGUUUGCUGUGCUUUUGUUGGCACUAGCACCUGGUAGGUUCUCCCAAGACAAAUUGGUCCCAGGAGAGGUUCUUUUAAGUCCCUCAUGAGUCACCUUCCCUGGAGAAAUGACUCUGGAGUUUCCACCGUGAUCUAGCAGGGAGAGAGCCGGGACAGCAAGUGUCCUUUGACCAGGCUUUCCCCGAUGCGGCCCUGUCAGGCUCAGCCCUGAGGGACAGUCAGUGUUUUCACACAUGCACUAAGUUUGAAUUAACAGGUGAGCUGCAUGUGUGAACAUGCAGCAUUUCUCACUUUGACUUUUCCAGGAGUAUUUCCCACCAGGGCAUAAUUUCAAGGUAAGAUCAGGGUGAGCUCAUGUGAGAGCUCACCUGGAAAUCUCCGGGAAAAUUGUCUCCCGGCUCAGUGAGCUCAGUGAGCCAGCAGGCAGAGGUGAUGACAUUUAUGUCAUGCGGUCGGUGUUCUGUCUAUUUUUGCUGCUUUGUUGAAAAAUCCCACUUUUGCACAGAUCAGUAGCAGAGGUCACCAGUUUAUGCAAUGUAUUAAUGCUUUCAGGUCACAAACAUCCAGGUGUACUGUGAGAAUAAGGCAAGCAUGUUUGUAGAACCCAAAUAUGAAAGUUUAAUGUAAGGUUUCUAGUGAAGUCUAUCUCAAUACACCGCUACACCAUCACAUCAUUUUAUAGCACUCCUCCACUCUCUCCAGAGUAUGUUUGGUUCUCUAUUACAAAUUCAGUGGAUGGCAAGCACCCAGGAUUCUAGUUUUAAGCAGGAAAAAAAAGUAUUCACUGCGUUUACAUGCACAGUUUAACUAAGGACUAAGCUCAUAAUAUUUUCGCCUUGUACGUGUAUACAUGCAGCUAAGAAAUUAUUGACAUGAAUUAUUGACUUGAUCGUGUCCUCCUCCCUAAAACUAGGGGGCGAUAUGGCUCCCUUCAGCGACCUUGUUUCCGGUUGACCCCAUACAACUGUCAACAACAACAGCAGGUCCAUGCCAGACAUCAGAAGUGUCUACAACUGCUGCUGGGAAUUUUCGGGCAAGAAGUUGGAGCAUCGUACAGCAGUGUUUUUGUCGUACAUGAUGUACGCGCUACUUCUUCCUCUCCCUCCCCUGGUUGGGAUACGGAGAGUGCUGCGAGAUCAUACACCCCAAUAAAAAGUUUGACAUUUGAUGGACUUUAGAGGUGUGUCCUCACUGAAUCAUCCUAAUAGGCUGAGGACAUCCCUAAUAAUUUAUAGAGCAUGUGACUCAUCACAUUUCUACCCACAGCCUAUUAUUAGAAUUAUUCUGUACACGUUUCCAGGAAUCAGAAAAAGGCUUAUUCAUUUCUUUUUUUGGCCACAGUGUUGUACACGCUGUCCCCAUGUUGACAUUUUAUGUCCGGGUUAACGCAGCUAAUUGCCUACUCUCUUGUCUGGCACAGGGCUAUUUGUCUCCUUCUGUAACAUCUAUUAAUUAUGAAUAAAAUGAGAUCUCGUAGUGUCACUGCUCAUAUUUCACCUCCUACUCACACCAUUCUGUCCGCCGGGCUGCUGCCUCCUUUUUAUUACAUCGUGUGAAACUCUUAUGCAGACCCUGCUUCCCUCUCUGAAGAAAACGGUUUGAAACAGAACAUUUUUCUACACAGGUCUUUGGCCAUUAUGCACCGCUGAUAAUUCUGUGUUUCUUGAAGUGUGUUUUUUAUUUUUUUAAUGGAAUUCACACAUACAACCUCCUGCUUCUGUAUCUCUUUCCCACUCAUUUUGCUCUGAGCGGUGGAGCAGAAAAUAAGAGUGCACUGUAUUGUACCACGAGAGUGUGUGUGUGUGUGUGCGCGCGUGUGUGUACGGGGGUGUAUGUACUUGUACGUGCUCAGAGUAGGUGUUGUUUCAGAGAUAUGUGCGAUUAUGUGCAUGUGAAUUAGGCAGCGCUUUCAGCUGUCUUUUAGGGACAUCUAAUUCAUUUAUUACCAGUGAUUAGAAAAUCUUCUUCUUCAGGGGGUCAAACAUUUAUAUCUCCCUGCCUGUGCUUUACAGGUCACUGAAAUUAUGUUGGGCUAUGAUGGAAGGGAGGGCGACUGCACAUGUGGCUGUUUGUGUGUUUCAGAGUUAAUGUAAAGAGGUGCCUGAGUGUGUUUGGAGGGAGGGAGGUGAGAGAGAAGGAGGAGGACUGUGAAUCUAUGAUUAAUGCAGCAUUGCCCUUGUAUCUUUCAGAGAGGAGAGAGGACGGAGGUGAGGCUAAAAGCAUUAGCAUUCUGCUUGCGUUCCUGCAGGAGUCUGCUUUGCCCCUGUACAGAUGCUCCGCUGCCUUUCAGAUUACCGAACAGACCCUUCAUAGACACUGGAGUCUGGAUGCACACCAAACACCUGUUUUGAGAUCCACUCCAUAGUUGUCAAUCUACUUUAAUUUGUUGAUACAGUUUCAUGGUGUAAGCUGUGUUGUCUUCAGACAGCUCUCAUUCCGAUACUGUCACACACACACAACAUGAGCUGCUCUCAUUUUUCAUCCUGAAUGUAGCAGCUCUGUUUUAAUGGGCCGGGGAAGUAAAACAGUUCUUCCUUCCACUCGAAAGGUUGCACAAGGACCUGAUUUUGAGCCGACUUCAAACUCAUCACAUAUUUAAAUUCUUAACACCAAGCUGCGCUGCCAAAAGCAUUUUGGGUGUUAUUUGAAGCUGUGACAGAAGGCACUGUAGGGUAACUGGUAUGCAGAGACGGAGCUCAAGUAGACAGAAGAGUUGCUGCUUGGCCUGACGGUGCAACUUUUGACAUUUCUAGUUCUGUGCUGGGUUAUAAUUCAGAAAAUGAGCACAGCUACCCUAAAAACAAACUCUGUCACAAACUUUAUUUCUGUACAAAAGAAGUACCAACUAGAUUUGUGCACACUGCAGACAAAGGCGUCCCAAUUUAGUUUGUUUUGCCCUCAAAAGUGACACAGAUUUUGUUGUGAGCAGCAUCCUGGAAGCAGCAUUUUAGUACAAAUAGUGAUAGAUUUUUAUUUUACACACAGAGAAAUCCUUUCUUGAUUUAGUGACCUGACCUUGAACACACCAUUAAUCUCUUUCUUUGGUUGCUUUGAUUCUGAUGAUUUUGACACAGAUCCAAACAAUGAAUUUUUAUCUUCAACAAACAAGACUUACAAGGUUGGGUGAUUACUGUGGCUGCUUUGUGAAGUGAAGGGUGACCCUCUUGCAGCAGCAGCAGCCAAAGACAGCAGAGCGUGCCACAGAUUUGUUGAUCUACAAUGAUGGUGUUCUUCUUUGGGCGGCAGGAGCUUAGGAGGUGGAGCGGUCAUCCAAGAACUGGAAGGUUGGUGGUUCGAUUUCACCCUCUCUCUAGUGUUGAGUCCUUGGACUAGACACUGUUGUAUGAUUGUGAGUGAUGUUUGGUGGCGGUCAGAGAAGCCAUUGACAACAAUUGGCAACAACGUUUCUGUCAGUCUGCCGCAGAGCAGCAGUGACUACGAAGGUAGUUUACCACCACCAGGGUGUGACUGUGUGAGUGAAUGAACGAAUGAUGUAGCUAAUGUAACGCAUUUUGGGGGGCGCUGAUAAAGUGCUGAAUAAAAUCUGAUGCAUUAUUUAUUUAUUUAUUUUUAAUGCUGCAGAAGUUUUAUUCCCCUCUUGAAAGAAAUUAUUUUAGGACAUUAGUCACAUUCUCCAUCUUCCUCAAGUCUUGCUUUGGUAAAUACAGCCUAGACUUCCUGGAAACUGUUGCAAUAAGCAACUUAUCACCAAAAUUCUUCUUUUCAAUAAAGUUUCAAUUAAAAACUGUAAUAAUCAACCGUUGUAUGUUUGUGCACCAGCGAUUUGAUUUAACUCUGGAUAUAAAGUUCAUUGUAGGACCUGUGAGACUAAAUAGCAGAUAAACUCAAACUUUUUGGGGUGUUAAAAGGGAAGAACAGCAUUUUUAACACAACUGCAUUUUGAUCUCCAUAUAUAAUCAUGAAAACAACUUAAGUACCCAAAUGAACAAUUAACAUUUUUCCAGAGCGCGCAAUCAAGGGUGUUUUUGUGUUUAUGACCACUGUAGAUUAAAGACUUUUACAUCAAGUUUCAUCAGAAAAUUUCAAAUGCUUGUUAUCCUGGUAAAUCGGUAUGAUUGUACCAAAAAGUGUUGGAGUACUUGAACUCGUAUAACAGGUGCUGGUCAGAGGAAAAUUCUCAAAUUGGGAAAAUCUGAGUUGGUUGCUGCUAAGCAUUAAUUUUUAUAAUCUGUUAUUAGAGAACCAAGCUAGAUGAGACAGAAACCUGAUACAGUCAUUGCUCCAAAAAAAGCUCUUAGCAUUUAAUAGAAAUGAAAAAACAACAACAACAAUGUGUCUCUAUAAAUUAUGCUGGAGGAUUAUAAAUACACUAAAACAAAGUUAUUUGAGUUAUUUUAAAGAGUUUGAGUUAUAUCCUGACAGAGUUGUAGAUCUAAGCAUAAGAACGGGAUUCAUGUUGUAUGUUAUAGCGUCUUUUAAUUGCUCUGUGUUGUCUCCCAGACUGUGAGUUUCUCCCGGUAGCAACAUUUGUGUCAAAAGAAGUGAUUGUUUGUCAUGCCAGUGGUGUUGUAGCUGUUUAAGCAUGUCUUUUUGAUCCAUAGAGCCCCAGUGGUCCAGCAGCCCUCGUAACAAUCGAUUCCUGCAUUUGUGUUCCUGUGCUUGUUGUUGUCCUCCUCUUCCUCCUCCACUGGGCAGAGGAAAUGUUUGCACACACAGCUUGUUUGGGUAGUUAUUUCUGCUCUGCCUCAGGUCACAUAUUGAACUGAACCUGCAGUAAUAAGUUUUUCUACUGUGUCUCAGACAGGAGCUGCUGAUUGUCUCUGGCUUUUUUCUUUUUUAUGCCAUGGGGGUGUUUUUUUUUUUACUUAAUAACAGCCAUUAUUUACAAAUGAAAGUCGGUCAGCGUCAUAAGCCUGUGUUGGACUUGAUAUCCUUUUAUAUUGUGUUUUACUGUGCGGUUUUGUAAAGUAUCAUAUAGUAUUUUGUUGCAGUUUAUGGUAUAGUAUCUUGACAUAUUGUAAGUUACCCUGUAAUUAUCACCCUCAUUCUGUAAUCACUCAUUUAAAGGGGUCAUAGCAAUGAAACCACUACUUAAAACAAUACCAGGUACUGGUCCGGUUUCAAAAAAAUACAAUGGUGGACAGUUUGAUUGCUUCAACUGGCUUUACGCUCCUCUAACACUUUAUCAUCCUGACCUGGUGUUGGCAACAGUAUUAUCUUUUUGACAGCUAUAUAUUAUAUAUAUUUAAAUGUAAGAAUAAUAUGCAGGUUACACAAAUUUCACUCCCAGUUUGACUCACUGUAUCACUGCUUUUUGACUCCUCCUUAUAAUAACAGUAAUCCUGCACUUUGCUUCUGAAAGGCGUUUUGAUUCUUCAGCUGAUCAGAUAUUGUUACAUAUUUCUAAAUGAUUGUCUCGCAGUUUGUCAGUCAAAACAAAAUCUUUAUACUGGGCUGUUUGAAGUGUAAUGAGCAGUGGUUCAGGUAUCGUAUUGAAUCCUCUAGUUUCAUAUUGUAUUGUAUAACUUCAUAUCCUGUCAUAUCAUAUAAUACAUAUUGUAUUAAUUGUAUUGUAUAGUAUCUUAUGGUAUUGUUUUAUAUGAUAUCAUAUUGUGUUGUAUUAUAUCACAUUGUUUCAUGCUGUAUCGUAUUGUAACGCAUGGCACCAUAUCCUUACUUAUUGUAUCAUAUAUCUUAUCAUUGUAUCAUAAUAUAUCCUACUAUAUUAUAUACUAUUCUACUGUAUAGAAUUGUGUUGUAUUGCACCUUAUAUUAUAACAUAGCCUAAUGUGUUGCAGUGAACUAUAUCUUAUCAUAUCAUGUCACAUUGAGAUAUUAUGUAAGGUCUUGUAAUACAUCCUUUAUAAUCAGAAACCUUGUGCACAUUUAUUAGGGGUCCCCAUUACAGAGUUUUUUGGCUGUAUGAAAUGGUUGAGAUCCUUGAGGAAGUAAUCAGAGCUUAAAUAGGACGAAUGUAAAAUGAAAUAAACCAGUUAACCCGUGUGCAGCUGAUCUUUAAUAAACUGGUGUACCUCAUACAGGGAUUUAGUGUAGUUAUAAUACAGGAAUCUCAUGUACAGCCACAUGUAAAUUAGCAUGCACGCACACUUAUCAACCCACAUUCAUCUGUUUACAUCUUCUACCUCUGACACCAUCAUCCAUAUUUAUCAUGCAUGUUUUAUAUCUGCAUAAUCCUGUGGAUCCCGUGUGGUUCUAUUGUGGGAAUUCAUAAACACUGUUAGUCAAAACAAUGCAACAUCUCGUUUAAGAUGUGACCAUAUGUUAAGCUAGAUAUUUUUCCUGUUACCCUACAUUACCAUAUUUCAAUCUGUAGUCUGGUAGCAGCGGUAAAGUGGCUUAAUUUUUCAUCUGUUUGAAGUUUAAGGAGAAAGAUAUAACAGGUAAUAAAUAUUCCAGAUAUGCACAACUUUUGAAUAACCAAAUCUAAAGUUAACGAGUAUUAAUUAAAGGUGACGAAUAAGGCCACCAAUUCUGCAGUAAGGUAGUACAAGGUGUAAGAUUCUAGUUAAUCGUGCAUUCACUGAUAAUGUUUCCAUAAAAAUGUGAGCUUUCUCCUCCUUCCGCCUUGCGUGACUCUUGUUUGUGACUGACUGUCUGAGCAUAAUUUGUGUUGGGCUCUUUUGCACACAGACCAAGUGUUUCUGUUUCCCUCUGCUUCAGCGCUCGGUAGGAAUGGAUGACAGUGUCUAUAUAAACAACACAGUGGAGUUAUGCACCACAGACUCUUGUCAAGACGCCUUCUUUCCUUUUUUCCACCGCUUUGACUUGUGCUUAAAAUAACUUCUUUUUUUUAAGGCUUCUUCUUUGAUGGAAUAUCUAUUGGCCGUGCUUCACUUAUUGCACUAAUAAGAAAACAGAAAUGAAAAAAAAUCUCUUUAUUAACAUGUGUUGAUAGAUUUUACUCUUAAUGGAAGUGAAUAUCUCUCUAGAAAGAAGCUGUUAAGUGUGUUUUUUAUCAUUGUGCGGGAAAGUUGGCCUCUGGGCAUGAUCUGUCAAAUAAAAUAAGCAGGGGAGCGCAUGGUAGUAAAUGCACAGCUGUGAAGUGACAGUGGAGUUAAAAAUACAAGCAGACACACAGGUCAGCCAUUAGUGAAUGAGAUUCUCAGGAAGUGGGACCUGUUAUUGGUCCUCGCCAUGACUCUCAUGACUCUCAGCAUUUCCAGGCACCUGCACACGAAGGCAGGGUUGUUUUGAUGCAGGAAUGUGGUGCUUUUGUGUUUGAUGCAGCUUUAAUUGUGUUAUCUGUGAUGUAGAAGUCAGGUCCUCCAUCUGUCUUUGAUGCAUGACAUGUUGCUCUUGGGAUAAAGUGUCCUUGUGAUUUCCCUCCCAUUGGACUGAAGUUUGUUUGUGUCCCUGUCACCUUCACAGACAGGACUGCCUUUGCUAUACACACACACACACUUUCCCCUUUAUUGAUCUAGUUAUAUUUACCAGCACCAAGAAGGUGCGAUUUGUUGCAAUUAAGCCUGUGCAAAACCUGUAGCAGUGACUCCUCCUUGAAGGUAUACUUUAUCAUCAAAAAAGCAAUGAUCUCAAUCCUAUCAGACACUCCAAACUGACUGAUUUUUAUCUCCUCUGUCUCAGGGAGAGAUGGAGCGCUACAAACAUUUUCAGGUUAAUACUGAUAACGUUGUUUGGGAUUAUAAAUCAUAAGAGAGGAAAUGUUCCCACUGGUUAAUAGACUUGUAAUGACACUGGAGUUACCUAAUACCCCUGGUAUUCUGCAAGACAACACAUUCAUUAACAAAACUCAUUAUCAGAGGAGAGCUUCCUUUGAGCUUCGAACUUAAGUCCUGGACUAUCAUCAUGUCAGUCAUCUCUUUUUCCUCCAGACAGGUGAAGUCUGUUGCUGAACAGAACUGUCAAAUUCUACGUGUAACAUCUGUCAUCUGACAAAGAACUGUAAAAAACUUAUGAGAAAUUAGAGAAAGUAGAGCUUUUUUCUUUGACAGGCUUAGCCGCUUUGCAAAUAGAUAACUAAUGGGUUUUUCUUCCACUAAAAAUCAACUUUUGUGAAUGUGAUGGACAAGUGUUUACUCUCGGUGGAUUCAUGUGGAGUCUUUCUCAAACAUUGAGACACCUGCAACAGUCUUCACAUGCUCCUUUUGUAUGUUGUACCAAGAUAGGUUAUCAAAAGUUGUUGGUAUUAAGUGUAGCAGCGCCAACAUCAGCACAGGGGGCGUGGUGCGUAACGUGCCAGCGCAGCCAUUUUGCAGACAUAACAACACUAAGCGCAUUGAAAUGAAUGAAAUUAGGAUGAAGGUAGGUUUUUAAAAAAAAUAUUUAUUAGCUGACUACACAGUAAUGGAGAACGGAAUGGAGAGAACAAAACUCAGACUCAACAUACCGUACAGGGACAAGCUGAACAAUGAAGAAAUACAGCGUUACCUUCGCAAAAUUGCAAACAUUGCUGGACUCGACCCAUAUGAGCACACUGUAUGGUCAGAAGUUGAUUUCGACCUCACUACAUGAUAAUUUGUUCAGGGGUGUGUGUGUGUGUGAGAGAGAGAGAGAGAGAAAGGCAGACAUGUUUGCGUGUGAUCACCUGCCAUUGUGCGAACGACGGUUUUGUUGUUGUUGACACUGUGCAUCUGCAGUUUGUGUACCCACCCAGAUGUGAAAAAAACAUGGGCCAAGAGAAACUUUUCAUUAUGGAAGGAAUUAAAUGCAUAACAGCUUGUUCCUUUGAUGAUGCUGAAUCACAUGCACUCGGUUAAGUGGUGGUAGCAUCUCGAAAUCAUCUUCUGACCAUACAGUGUGUUCAUAUGGAUCGAGUCCAGCAAUGUUCGCAAUUUUGCGAUUCGCGUUCAGACUAGGUUCAGAAAUUUUUCCAAAUUGCUCUUAUGAGGUGUUAAAAACUAUCUAUCACCUGACUUUUUUAGUGAAUGGAUAAAAGAAAACUUCAUGGUGUAGCUUUUCUUUUGCCAAUACUUUGUUGUAUCCCCUCCUCAGAAUGUGACACAGCACUUUCUAGUAACCCGAUUAACCCCAGCCAUUUGUGCAUCGCCGUGAACAUUUUCUGAACUGUAAUAGUGCUGUGGGGGUUCUUAAUAGUCUCUAUAUAUCUUCAGGCUCAGUGCUAUAAAAUGGGCGUCCUCCCUAAUGUAAAUACAUUACAGUUCCCAAUCUUACCAAUGAGGUUUCAUCUCUCCAGGAUGCACUGGGUGCAAGUCCUGUAGGACCCAGAUCUACUGGAAAGCAGUGUCUCCAUGCCUUAUUUUUCACGAAGCAAACAGUGCAUUACGGUCCUCCCACUGUGCCCCAGGUUUGAAGCUGCUGUUGUCAUUAAUUGUGGUCUCAGUGUAGUGUUGGUGCGACCCAUUACAAACCCACACCUCCGUCUUUGGCCCUGUGGUGAUGCAUUACUCCACACAUCUCAUUAAUAACCCCACUGCAUAGAGCUUGGUGGAGGAAGAGACGGUGAAAGUGGGCCACAGAAAAUGAUGGAGCCUACAAAAGCUGGUCCAUAUAGGUACAGAGAAGCAAAAGCAAUUAGCUUUUAAGACCACCUGCAUGGACUCAUCACUGGGAUUAUCUUACAGAUGGGUCAAACAUAUCCUUUUAACAGUAUUUUUUUUUCCAGAUGCUGCUGAGAAAUAUUUUUUUAUGAUCUAAUGGGCUGUAUGAAGGUUCUACAUUAACCUUUUAGGGGAGAUGCUGGUGCAAGACUGGCCGAAAGUCUGAAAGCUCAAGUAUAAGCAGCAUCUAGGUCCUUUUGAAAUCUGCAAAGAGAGAAAUAAAACGUGACAAGAAUUGUAUAAGGAAAGACUCUUGUUUUUUUAUGAAGAUAGGCAGAGUAUUCCCAUUUAUGAGAAAACAAGGUCAAAGAUCCCACAUGAAAUCUUUGAAUUACUCUUGCACCAAAAACAUGAGUAAAUUAGUUUGUGACUUUGUAGGUGCAAUGUUCCCUGCUCAAAGAUUUUAGUAAUAUAACAUAAUAUAAAAAUAUAGCAAACUUAACUGCUUUCAGACACAUAAAGGACUUUAUAGCAUAUUGCAUAAAUUGAUGAUUUAUUGGAAAGAAACAGGCGACUUCUUAGUUUUAUCACCCAACCAUCUGUUUUAUAAUUGGGUGGCACUGCCCUUUAACUUUGGCUGGCCUUUCACAAAGCUAUAAUACAGGAGCAGCUUUUUAUGAACUCAGCUGCAUUCAGGAUCUCUGCAUUUAGUUUGAAAGGAUGUGUUUAUGAUUCAUUCACUCUGGCAGAUGACAGGGCUUUUCAAACUGUGUACAGUUUCCCUGAAAUGACACUUGUUUUUGCUUUUUAAAAAAAAAAGGUGUCAAAAAAUAUUGGAUGUUUUUCAAAGUCCCUUUUAUCCUCCUCUGGGUUGUUACUGAAUAGGUCUUUUUUACUUCAUGAUAUUCACUUAUUUAAUUUCAGAUGAAUUAUGUGUACUAUACAUUUAAAAAUAUGUGCAUAAAAAUAGAUUUUAUUGCAAUUGUGACUUUUUAUCUUGGUUUUAUACGUAUUUGUCACCCAGUAAUUUAAGUAAUAUGCUUCUCAAAGCACCUUGUCAAUUCUAGGUUUUUAAGGUGCUAUAUUAAGUUGUCACUUUUUGAUGUAAAUGUCAGUAAAUACUGAACAGAAAGAGUUAACUUAGCAUAUCAGUAUCAGUGCUCAAUUUCAUGUCUAAUUUUACAUUUACACAAAAUUAAAUAAAAUCAAAAGGGUCUUUAUUAUUGUGCAAAGUCCCCGUGCUCAGUUAAUAAUAUGUACUUAAGGCACAGUGAAACAAAUAACAGCCCUGUUAUUGUGCAGUCUUGAAAUGUUCAGAGUAGAAAAGUUCUAAAAAAAUCUCUUUCUUGUGGUUGAUCUGAAAACUAAACCGAACCAUGACCCUUGAACUGUGAGCUGAACUGAACUCAGAGGUUUUUGAUCCAUGAGACUCCUGUGAAACUCAUAUACUCAAACUGUACUGACUCUGCAGUGUGAUUAUUCAUAAUGUGAUGCUCUACUCACACAUAAAUAUAUUCUCCGCUCUAACAGUUCAAGCACAGUCAGAAAGUAGGACAGUAAUGUAAUUUCUGCUGGUUUGGCUACACUCCAGCACAUUAGAUUUCCAACUUCCAAAAUGAAAUCAAACCUUUAUAUUUCACCAUUUGGAUCUAUUACAGCCCCCCUCUUGUCAGUUUGUGGUUGAAAAAGGACAAAGGGGAUCCUUUUUAUUCAUCCAUUGAUUUCUUUGUCCAGCGUUGAAAUCAUUCCCAGAAAAAAACAGUAAGUUGUUUGUAGGAGCUGCUUGUAGGAGCAAAAUAAAGCCUUUAACUUCCCCUCACACCUAUUUAUUUUGGCGGGCAAUCUUCACACAGUAUUGUUCCAUUUUCUUUUCCCAUUUUCUUUAUCUCCACCUACAUCUCUUCAGCGGACUAACCUUUUUCAGUCUAUCCUGAAGUCUUAUCAGCUGCUUUAAAUGAGGCCGGGAGUUUUCUUUGUGCUAAUCGUAGCAUGUGUCACUUUCCUCCAGCAAGACUGGGAAACUCCAUAGCAAAGCAAUUUGGCACACCACAUCCCCCAGAAUGAACAGUGUGUGGAGAGGCACUGCCAGGACUUGAUGGCUUCAUCACUCUGUCACUUGGUGAGAUGCAGAGAUUUCCCCAUUAAUUCAGUUAAUUGUGACAGGGACAGCGUGAUACUCUAAACAGCACUGAAAUACAGUCGAAACCUUUAAAGAUUCAUGUUUGCACCCUAUAAAUCAGGUUUAACUGAGUUUUCUGUGAUAAUGGAUUAAGACAGGUACAUGAGAGUAUGCCCCUCAUUCUUUAAGUCUGAAUAAAUUGUCACUUUCACAAUUUAUUAACAGCUGUUGGUGAAUGAUAUAGCAAUAUAGCAAUAGCAAUCUUUAGUAAAUAUUGUCAUGUCACUUCUUCAAAAGAAGCCUCAUGUGAAGCCCGUGUGAGAAACUUUUGGUUUGCAUGAAUUUUGACACCUCCUGUGGGCAUGCAGUCUUUGCUUAUUGUUUCCUUUACAUGCUUUAGUUGAUUUGUCACUUGUGCAUAAGUAAUGUUUAAUGCCUCAAACCAGCACAACUUCCACGGUCUAAGUUUUAUAUUAACAUAUUAAGCUAACUUUACACUUACUGACUUUAACAUGAAAUAUUUUAAGACUGAAGCUAAAACCUUUUGUGUUUAGGCAAAUUUCACUCUCCUAACAAGCUAAUCAAACAUUUUUAGGAGACAUUUAACUUGAGACAGCACUGGCUGUGUAUUUUCAGGUAUUCAAAUGUAAGUCAAACUGUCAUGGUGUCGUUCAGUUACAAAACCCCAAUUGCUCCUUGCUUCAUAUUUUAAAACUGUGUAUUUUGCCUCACAUGAAAGAAGACUUUUGGGAUGGAGUUUGACAAAUGUCACACUCCUGCUUUGAGUAACUGUAAAAUAGGACACAAAGACAUGUGUGUUUUAACUUAUUUGAACAUGUGAAGAAAUCCAACUCUUGACAUGACAUUAUGCCAAGCAGUGGUCAUAGUAGUACAAUGACUGGGUAAAUUUGUUUUAUCUACUAUUAAAUAGCUGGUUAGAAGUACAUAGAUAGAAAUACAUCCAGCUGAUUGUGGCAGUUUUCAGAAAUUCCCUUUAAAUCAUCUCUUUGUGGACUUCUGAACCUGUGCCACAGUUUGAGAAAAUCUUUAGUCCCUGGUAUGGAAUAUGCAGCUAGACAUUAAAACAAACAAAAAAAAAACAUGGGGCUGAAUUUUUGGGUUUUAACUUCGAAUCGUACGGAUUUAAACUUCUGACUUGCAGUCUUGGGACUCCUCUAUUUGCCCUCUUUUUUACCUCUAGCAUAUAAAACUCCAAGGACACUCCAGAAGUCGUUCCUGCUAUUUGAGUUUAACUUCUGAAGUGCAGACAUCUGGGGAGACUUCCUCAGCAAUACUGAAGAAAGCUCCUGCCUCCCUCCACCCAAGCCUGUAAAGUGCUACCACUUCUAGCUGAUAGUUAGAUCACCACCUAUUGUAAGUGUGAAAGUCCAGACAUGCUGCUCCAUCUGUUGAGAAGGAACAGUGAAUAUUAGCUUGUGUAAGGGUUCUUAUCACUGCUUAAGUCGGCCAAAAAUCCAUGUGUUCGAGGAUGAACCGUGAGGCUGCAAGGAUUAAUGUUCUGCAUCAGUUUGAAAUUGUAUUUGCUUUUCACAUAAAAAAGGAGUCAUAUCAUCAUCCCCUCCAAAAUAAAGCAAAGUCUGACCACUUGAAAUCCAAUAUCUGAGGACCAAACCAUGUUGGCUCUGUUUGUUUGAUUUCGAUGUAUCAUUGGUCAGAAUCAGAUUACAAGUGAAGGCGCCCAUGCAGUCUGGUCUGCCACUGAUCCCUCUAACUUUUCCCGUCUUCCUCAUCCCCAGAGUGUAACUGUCAUCUGUAGCCCAAGCUUAGUUUCGGAGCUGAGAUGAUCUCAUUUUCCCCU